UACGAAGGGGGCUAGCGUUGCUCGGAAUCACUGGGCGUAAAGGGUGCGUAGGCGGGUCUUUUAAGUCAGGGGGUGAAAUCCUGGAGCUCAACUCCAGAACUGCCUUUGAUACUGAAGAUCUUGAGUUCGGGAGAGGUGAGUGGAACUGCGAGUGUAGAGGUGAAAUUCGUAGAUAUUCGCAAGAACACCAGUGGCGAAGGCGGCUCACUGGCCCGAUACUGACGCUGAGGCACGAAAGCGUGGGGAGCAAACAGGG
This 256-nucleotide ribosomal RNA is filed under the name uncultured bacterium. Its description in RNAcentral is "partial 16S ribosomal RNA". It matches the Rfam family "Bacterial small subunit ribosomal RNA", at positions 524 to 777 of the family's 1533-position model. The record is from RNAcentral.